RNAcentral lists this ribosomal RNA (622 nucleotides) under Pseudosolorina saccata. RNAcentral describes it as "SSU rRNA". It matches the Rfam family "Bacterial small subunit ribosomal RNA", at positions 453 to 1130 of the family's 1533-position model. The record is from RNAcentral. Lineage: Eukaryota; Fungi; Ascomycota; Lecanoromycetes; Peltigerales; Peltigeraceae.
AUUCUAGGUGGAGUUAUGAUUAUGACAUUGUCUAUCUAUGUGUCUUGACCAAAUUACGUGCCAGCUGUCGCGGUAAUACGUAAAAGACUAGUGUUAUUCAUCUUUAAUAGGUUUAAAGAGUACCAAGACGGUUAAUAAAGCCCCUAUAGGGUACACAUUAACUAGAGUUAUAUGAAAGGGGGCUAUUAGGUACUGUUGAGUGUAGAGAUGAAAUUCUGUCAUACCAGAUGAGUGGCACGGGUCUAUGCGAAGGCAUCUCCUUAUGUAAUAACUGACGUUGUAGGACGAAGGCUCCUGAAGUGAACAGGAUUAGAUACCCCAGUAAUCUGAGCAGAAAAUGAUGAAUGUCAUAGGUUAAAUAUAAUUUGGUCUAUAAAUGAAAGUGUAAGCAUUCCACCUCAAGAGUAAUUUGGCAACAUUGGAACUGAAAUCAUUAGACCGUUUCUGAAACCAGUAGUGAAGUAUGUUGUUUAAUUUGAUGAUCCGCAAAAAACCUUACCACAAUUUGAAUAAAUAUAUUUAAAUAUUUACAAGCGUUGCACGGCUGUCUUCAGUUAAUGUCGUGAGAUUUUGGUUAGUUCCAUUAAAUUAACGUAAACCCUUACUUUAUUUAGAUAUAAAG